AAUGAACGCUGGCGGCGCGCCUAAUACAUGCAAGUCGAGCGAGAAGACGUAGCAAUACGUUUGUAAAGCGGCGAACGGGUGAGGAAUACAUGGGUAACCUACCCUAGAGUGGGGAAUAACUAGCCGAAAGGUUAGCUAAUACCGCGUACGCUCCUUGGACUUCGGUUCAGGGAGGAAAGCGAUGCCGAGGGUAUCGCGCUCUUGGAUGGGCUCAUGUCCUAUCAGCUUGUUGGNGAGGUAACGGCUCACCAAGGCUUCGACGGGUAGCUGGUCUGAGAGGACGAUCAGCCACACUGGCACUGCGACACGGGCCAGACUCCUACGGAGGCAGCAGUAAGGAAUAUUGCGCAAUGGGCGAAAGCCUGACGCAGCGACGCCGCGUGGGGGA
This 388-nucleotide ribosomal RNA is filed under the name uncultured bacterium. Its description in RNAcentral is "bacterial SSU rRNA". It matches the Rfam family "Bacterial small subunit ribosomal RNA", at positions 29 to 408 of the family's 1533-position model. The record is from RNAcentral.